UACGGAGGGAGCUAGCGUUGUUCGGAAUUACUGGGCGUAAAGCGCGCGUAGGCGGCUUUGUAAGUUAGAGGUGAAAGCCCGGGGCUCAACUCCGGAACUGCCUUUAAGACUGCAUCGCUUGAAUCCGGGAGAGGUGAGUGGAAUUCCGAGUGUAGCGGUGAAAUGCGUAGAUAUUGGGAGGAACACCAGUGGCGAAGGCGGCUCACUGGACCGGUACUGACGCUGAUGCGCGAAAGCGUGGGGAGCAAACAGG
RNAcentral lists this ribosomal RNA (253 nucleotides) under uncultured bacterium. Its description in RNAcentral is "partial 16S ribosomal RNA". It matches the Rfam family "Bacterial small subunit ribosomal RNA", at positions 524 to 776 of the family's 1533-position model. The record is from RNAcentral.